AGGGCGCUGCGAGCUACACUGAUUGCUUGGACAUGUGCCGCUCCUUCAAUCGUGAAGCACUGAACCUGGACGACAGCAGGGCGCUAUUAUCACCAAUUCUCAAAAGAGACACCGUUGUCCCUAUAAAGAGACUGAAAUUAAUGGAGACACUUUAAUGAAACUAAGACUACGAAAGCUUAAAUAUUCCCCAAAAUGAAGGAUGAAGUUAAAUUUAUAUGAUUACAAGAAAACCUAAAGACUGAGAUGCCAGCAAGACCACAGACACCACAAGACUCUGGGGAUUUUUCUACCUUUCCGCUCGCUGUUGAGAAGCCUGUAUCUACUAGGCAGCCGACUCCACUCACCUCUCACUUGGCGCUGCCUCUAGAUUCCAGCGGUGGCUUUCCACUGUUGGUCUUCGACUUUCCCUCACCGAUGUCCGGCUGUUGCUGGUGUAGUCUCCAUGCUGGUCUUUCCGACAGAGUGCUGGCGGUUUCGUCAUCCGGCCAACUGAGUCUUCAGUGUUUGUUAAUAAACUUUAAUAUUCAUUCACCUGCUGUUGGAUCCUGGUCUUACUUCUGA
Long non-coding RNA from Cyprinus carpio (common carp), 561 nucleotides. NCBI's taxonomy places the organism in Eukaryota, Metazoa, Chordata, Actinopteri, Cypriniformes, Cyprinidae. The record is from Ensembl.